RNAcentral lists this ribosomal RNA (587 nucleotides) under Staphylococcus aureus. RNAcentral describes it as "partial 23S ribosomal RNA". It matches the Rfam family "Bacterial large subunit ribosomal RNA", at positions 1603 to 2191 of the family's 2925-position model. Lineage: Bacteria; Bacillati; Bacillota; Bacilli; Caryophanales; Staphylococcaceae. The record is from RNAcentral.
CACUGCCGAGAAAAGCCUCUAGAUAGAAAAUAGGUGCCCGUACCGCAAACCGACACAGGUAGUCAAGAUGAGAAUUCUAAGGUGAGCGAGCGAACUCUCGUUAAGGAACUCGGCAAAAUGACCCCGUAACUUCGGGAGAAGGGGUGCUCUUUAGGGUUAACGCCCAGAAGAGCCGCAGUGAAUAGGCCCAAGCGACUGUUUAUCAAAAACACAGGUCUCUGCUAAACCGUAAGGUGAUGUAUAGGGGCUGACGCCUGCCCGGUGCUGGAAGGUUAAGAGGAGUGGUUAGCUUCUGCGAAGCUACGAAUCGAAGCCCCAGUAAACGGCGGCCGUAACUAUAACGGUCCUAAGGUAGCGAAAUUCCUUGUCGGGUAAGUUCCGACCCGCACGAAAGGCGUAACGAUUUGGGCACUGUCUCAACGAGAGACUCGGUGAAAUCAUAGUACCUGUGAAGAUGCAGGUUACCCGCGACAGGACGGAAAGACCCCGUGGAGCUUUACUGUAGCCUGAUAUUGAAAUUCGGCACAGCUUGUACAGGAUAGGUAGGAGCCUUUGAAACGUGAGCGCUAGCUUACGUGGAGGCGCUG